GGGGAGGUAGAUUUUAAGUAGGGAGAGGGACACCAGCCACACACCCUGAGCCCGGAGUGUGCCUGGUGCGUCUGAGGAGCAAUGAGGCCAGAGAGGAGUGGGAGGAGAUGAAGUCAGGGAGGAAACAGGGUGGGAGAGUCUGAAAGGACUUUGCCUUUCAGAGGGGGCGCACCAGGCUCUGACUGGCAUUUUGUUGAACUAGGAUGGCUCUGGCUGCCCUGUGAGCACACUGAAGGGAAGCCAGCAAGGAAGCAGGUCCUUGGUGGACAGGGGUGGGGCAGCUUCUCUGCCUCUGCCAGGCGGGCUAUAUAAACCACAUAGGAUGAUUUCAGGGAGAGGAAGGCUUGGGGUGCAGGACAUCUGGAGUCAGGGGCAAGGAGAACGUUUGUGGAAGACUGGAGAGAACUCCAGAGAGUUGGGCUGCAGGGCUGCCACCAGGUUCAGGAAAAUGAUCCCUGCAGCUUUAAGCUGUGUGAGUGUAGGCCUCUCAGAAAGGACGGACUUCUCAGAGUAAACCUCUGGGCUGGGACAGAGAGAUUUCAAAUCCAGCCCUCUGAGCUCAGUAACUCCUAAGUGUUUCUGUAAUUUGCCCAGCUGCACCUGGUUUGUGCCCCCCACACCUUCAUGCAAUAGUCAAGCCGAGAUGCCGGGGAAUGAGAGGCUGAGAAUCCCAAGUCCUGAGUUCAAGUCCCUGCUCUUCCACUUAACUGCCUGUGUGACUCUGGGUGAGCCAGCCAUUCUGGCUUUCUGCUGGUUUCCUCACAGGCACCCCAGGCACAGUCACCAUCCCUGCUGAGGGUGGUGGGCAGUGGUGACACAUGCUGACUGUGGGUGGAACAAAGCCUUAACUGUGAGAACCCUUAGACAGAGAAGGUGGGCUGGGUUACAAAGCUUCCCCACACUUCCUGAGACGAGGGAAGUAUCAGU
Molecule: long non-coding RNA, 927 nt
Filed under: Homo sapiens (human)
Lineage: Eukaryota; Metazoa; Chordata; Mammalia; Primates; Hominidae
Description: HSALNT0221519
Source: RNAcentral